GGGGAAUAUUGGGCAAUGGGGGCAACCCUGACCCAGCAACGCCGCGUGAAGGAAGAAGGCUUUCGGGUUGUAAACUUCUUUGACGAGGGACGAAAGAAAUGACGGUACCUCGAAAACAAGCCACGGCUAACUACGUGCGAGCAGCCGCGGUAAUACGUAGGUGGCAAGCGUUGUCCGGAUUUACUGGGUGUAAAGGGCGCGUAGGCGGGAGCGCAAGUCAGAUGUGAAAUCUAUGGGCUUAACCCAUAAACUGCAUUUGAAACUGUGCUUCUUGAGUAUCGGAGAGGCAGGCGGAAUUCCUAGUGUAGCGGUGAAAUGCGUAGAUAUUAGGAGGAACACCAGUGGCGAAGGCGGCCUGCUGGACGACAACUGACGCUGAUGCGCGAAAGCGUGGGGAGCAAAC
This 403-nucleotide ribosomal RNA is filed under the name uncultured bacterium. RNAcentral describes it as "bacterial SSU rRNA". It matches the Rfam family "Bacterial small subunit ribosomal RNA", at positions 356 to 773 of the family's 1533-position model. The record is from RNAcentral.